UAUAAUUUUUGACUCUUCGUCUUAUUUAAACUUUUUUGCAAUUGAUAUUUUUGUUUUUAUUAGAUGAUAAAUCAUGAAUAGUACUUUACGUGUGACUAAUUUUUUUUAAUUUCCUGAAAAUUCUUCAAAUAAGACAGAUGGUCAAACGUUGGACACGGAAA
Molecule: microRNA precursor, 161 nt
Filed under: Oryza brachyantha (malo sina)
Lineage: Eukaryota; Viridiplantae; Streptophyta; Magnoliopsida; Poales; Poaceae
Description: MIR812 microRNA precursor family
Rfam family: MIR812 microRNA precursor family
Source: Rfam by way of RNAcentral